Long non-coding RNA from Herpailurus yagouaroundi (jaguarundi), 1212 nucleotides. RefSeq lists it as uncharacterized. The transcript has 3 exons. NCBI's taxonomy places the organism in Eukaryota, Metazoa, Chordata, Mammalia, Carnivora, Felidae. The record is from RefSeq and is a predicted model, not a curated record.
CUCCCCCCGUCCCUGGCUCCGCCCCGCGCACGGCCCGGGGACCUCGCGCCCGCUCUCUGUUGUUGUGCCUGCCCUCUGCUGUGCCUGAAGACAGAACACCUUCACACACUUCACUGCAUGGUCUGUUAAUAAAACAGACGACGGAAGCGAGGCGUGUGUGAAAGUGGAAAGAGGCGGAAUAUGUACGUGAUUUUUUUUUUUUUUCCUCCAGGCUGCCUUGGAACACCCCCGCGUUUCCUCCGUGUGGACCCAGCCUUCCGCGCGAUGAGUAGUGGGGAUUGUAGUUUGCCCGCAGCUGCUGGCCCUGCGGCUGUCCCGACCAGGUUAUGAGGAAGAGCGAGCCCUCGAUCACCAAUGGGAAGGUCUUUUCAGCCUCGAGGCCGAACCUUGGGGAGUUGGGAGUUUACACUUUCCAUUCCUGGGCGUGACACCUGGAGGUCAAAUGAUGGAGAUAUGAAAAUCAGUGCAGAGAGAGAGCUCGAUGGAAGUUGUGGAAGCAGUCACAGGUGACCACAGUGGCCAGAUUAAGGCAGGGAAAAAAGUGAAGGGAAUCCCAGGCAGAAGAAAGCAUGUAACCAGACACAGGCAUGAAGAAACUGCACUUAUUUGUAGAAGAACUCCCAUGAGGAUAAUAGGAGAGGUGACAGGAGCUGAGGUUGGAGAAUCAGCGUGCAGCAAACGUGGGGAGUGUCCAAUAUGGUCCAACUUUAAGGAGUCUGACUUACGUUGCUGAAUGGACAACAUCUAAGUUUGUUUCCUUGUUUUUACACAGGAGCGGUAUGUAAUUUCCAUGUUGAGAAAGAUAAUUCUGAACCAGUUGUUUUGGAAGGUGGAUUGAUGGUGUGGGAGACAGGUAUUGGAAGGAGAGAGACAGUCAGAGAUGGUGACAAUAAUUUAGGGAGAACUGGGGAAGGUCAGUUGUGUUCCAGCCCAAGCAGCAUCUUUGAAACACUGAAGGGGAAUGCUCCAGUGAUCCACAUGUGAGAGGCCCAACCUAGAGUGGCAAUGAGUGGGUGGAAAAAGUCCCUGGAAAGAACUGGAUGUAGACCCAAUUCUUGGUAGCCUGACUAGGGCCUGACUGUUCUUCAAGACACUCUCCUGACAGAAUUAGAUCUUUCUGACUGUCCUGACCCCUGUUACCAGCUGUUGCUACUCUCGUACAUUCUGGUUCAUGAGCCAUGGUUACAUGCAUGCUCCCCUUGUGGAUUAACC